AGUGAACGCUGGCGGUAGGCCUAACACAUGCAAGUCGAACGGCAGCACAGUAAGAGCUUGCUCUUACGGGUGGCGAGUGGCGGACGGGUGAGGAAUACAUCGGAAUCUACUUUUUCGUGGGGGAUAACGUAGGGAAACUUACGCUAAUACCGCAUACGACCUACGGGUGAAAGCAGGGGAUCUUCGGACCUUGCGCGAUUGAAUGAGCCGAUGUCGGAUUAGCUAGUUGGCGGGGUAAAGGCCCACCAAGGCGACGAUCCGUAGCUGGUCUGAGAGGAUGAUCAGCCACGCGGGAAAUGAGACACGGGCCAGACUCCUAGGGGAGGCAGCAGGGGGGAAUUUUGAAAAAGGGGGGCAAGCCUGAUCCAGCCAAACCGCGUGGGUGAAGAAGGCCUUCGGGUUGUAAAGCCCUUUUGUUGGAAAAAAAAAGCAGCAGGUUAAUACCCCGUUGUUCUGACGGUACCCAAAGAAUAAGCACCGGAUAACUUCGU
RNAcentral lists this ribosomal RNA (491 nucleotides) under uncultured bacterium. RNAcentral describes it as "partial 16S ribosomal RNA". It matches the Rfam family "Bacterial small subunit ribosomal RNA", at positions 29 to 506 of the family's 1533-position model. The record is from RNAcentral.